CAACCUGCCGAUGACUCGGGGAUAGCCUUUCNAAAGAAAGAUUAAUACCCGAUGGCAUAGUUCUUCCGCAUGGUGGAACUAUUAAAGAAUUUCGGUCAUCNAUGGGGAUGCGUUCCAUUAGGUUGUUGGCGGGGUAACGGCCCACCAAGCCUUCNAUGGAUAGGGGUUCUGAGAGGAAGGUCCCCCACAUUGGAACUGAGACACGGUCCAAACUCCUACGGGAGGCAGCAGUGAGGAAUAUUGGUCAAUGGACGAGAGUCUGAACCAGCCAAGUAGCGUGAAAGAUGACCGCCCUAUGGGUUGUAAACUUCUUUUAUACGGGAAUAAAGUGAGGCACGUGUGCCUUUUUGUAUGUACCGUAUGAAUAAGGAUCGGCUAACUCCGUGCCAGCAGCCGCGGUAAUACGGAGGAUCCGAGCGUUAUCCGGAUUUAUUGGGUUUAAAGGGAGCGUAGGCGGACGCUUAAGUCAGUUGUGAAAGUUUGCGGCUCAACCGUAAAAUUGCAGUUGAUACUGGGUGUCUUGAGUACNGUAGAGGCAGGCGGAAUUCGUGGUGUAGCGGUGAAAUGCUUAGAUAUCNCGAAGAACNNNNNAUUG
This 595-nucleotide ribosomal RNA is filed under the name uncultured Bacteroidota bacterium. Its description in RNAcentral is "bacterial SSU rRNA". It matches the Rfam family "Bacterial small subunit ribosomal RNA", at positions 122 to 716 of the family's 1533-position model. Lineage: Bacteria; Pseudomonadati; Bacteroidota. The record is from RNAcentral.